UAGUGGCCAAUUGGUAGAGCAUGAGACUCUUAAUCUCAUGGUCGUGAGUUCAAGCUCCACACUGGGCAAAA
Molecule: non-coding RNA, 71 nt
Organism: Podarcis lilfordi (Lilford's wall lizard)
Lineage: Eukaryota; Metazoa; Chordata; Lepidosauria; Squamata; Lacertidae
Source: the annotation of a GenBank genome assembly